This 2141-nucleotide ribosomal RNA is filed under the name Salmonella enterica. RNAcentral describes it as "partial 23S ribosomal RNA". It matches the Rfam family "Bacterial large subunit ribosomal RNA", at positions 1 to 2167 of the family's 2925-position model. Lineage: Bacteria; Pseudomonadati; Pseudomonadota; Gammaproteobacteria; Enterobacterales; Enterobacteriaceae. The record is from RNAcentral.
GGUUAAGCGACUAAGCGUACACGGUGGAUGCCCUGGCAGUCAGAGGCGAUGAAGGACGUGCUAAUCUGCGAUAAGCGCCGGUAAGGUGAUAUGAACCGUUAUAACCGGCGAUUUCCGAAUGGGGAAACCCAGUGUGACUCGUCACACUAUCAUUAACUGAAUCCAUAGGUUAAUGAGGCGAACCGGGGGAACUGAAACAUCUAAGUACCCCGAGGAAAAGAAAUCAACCGAGAUUCCCCCAGUAGCGGCGAGCGAACGGGGAGGAGCCCAGAGCCUGAAUCAGCAUGUGUGUUAGUGGAAGCGUCUGGAAAGGCGCGCGAUACAGGGUGACAGCCCCGUACACAAAAGCGCAUGUGCUGUGAGCUCGAUGAGUAGGGCGGGACACGUGGUAUCCUGUCUGAAUAUGGGGGGACCAUCCUCCAAGGCUAAAUACUCCUGACUGACCGAUAGUGAACCAGUACCGUGAGGGAAAGGCGAAAAGAACCCCGGCGAGGGGAGUGAAAAAGAACCUGAAACCGUGUACGUACAAGCAGUGGGAGCACCCUUUUGGGUGUGACUGCGUACCUUUUGUAUAAUGGGUCAGCGACUUAUAUUCUGUAGCAAGGUUAACCGAAUAGGGGAGCCGGAGGGAAACCGAGUCUUAACCGGGCGUUAAGUUGCAGGGUAUAGACCCGAAACCCGGUGAUCUAGCCAUGGGCAGGUUGAAGGUUGGGUAACACUAACUGGAGGACCGAACCGACUAAUGUUGAAAAAUUAGCGGAUGACCUGUGGCUGGGGGUGAAAGGCCAAUCAAACCGGGAGAUAGCUGGUUCUCCCCGAAAGCUAUUUAGGUAGCGCCUCGUGAAUUCAUCUCCGGGGGUAGAGCACUGUUUCGGCUAGGGGGCCAUCCCGGCUUACCAACCCGAUGCAAACUGCGAAUACCGGAGAAUGUUAUCACGGGAGACACACGGCGGGUGCUAACGUCCGUCGUGAAGAGGGAAACAACCCAGACCGCCAGCUAAGGUCCCAAAGUCAUGGUUAAGUGGGAAACGAUGUGGGAAGGCCCAGACAGCCAGGAUGUUGGCUUAGAAGCAGCCAUCAUUUAAAGAAAGCGUAAUAGCUCACUGGUCGAGUCGGCCUGCGCGGAAGAUGUAACGGGGCUAAACCAUGCACCGAAGCUGCGGCAGCGACGCUUAUGCGUUGUUGGGUAGGGGAGCGUUCUGUAAGCCUGUGAAGGUGUGUCGUGAGGCAUGCUGGAGGUAUCAGAAGUGCGAAUGCUGACAUAAGUAACGAUAAAGCGGGUGAAAAGCCCGCUCGCCGGAAGACCAAGGGUUCCUGUCCAACGUUAAUCGGGGCAGGGUGAGUCGACCCCUAAGGCGAGGCCGAAAGGCGUAGUCGAUGGGAAACGGGUUAAUAUUCCCGUACUUGGUGUUACUGCGAAGGGGGGACGGAGAAGGCUAUGUUGGCCGGGCGACGGUUGUCCCGGUUUAAGCGUGUAGGCUGGUUUUCCAGGCAAAUCCGGAAAAUCAAGGCUGAGGCGUGAUGACGAGGCACUACGGUGCUGAAGCAACAAAUGCCCUGCUUCCAGGAAAAGCCUCUAAGCAUCAGGUAACAUCAAAUCGUACCCCAAACCGACACAGGUGGUCAGGUAGAGAAUACCAAGGCGCUUGAGAGAACUCGGGUGAAGGAACUAGGCAAAAUGGUGCCGUAACUUCGGGAGAAGGCACGCUGACACGUAGGUGAAGUGAUUUACUCAUGGAGCUGAAGUCAGUCGAAGAUACCAGCUGGCUGCAACUGUUUAUUAAAAACACAGCACUGUGCAAACACGAAAGUGGACGUAUACGGUGUGACGCCUGCCCGGUGCCGGAAGGUUAAUUGAUGGGGUCAGCGCAAGCGAAGCUCCUGAUCGAAGCCCCGGUAAACGGCGGCCGUAACUAUAACGGUCCUAAGGUAGCGAAAUUCCUUGUCGGGUAAGUUCCGACCUGCACGAAUGGCGUAAUGAUGGCCAGGCUGUCUCCACCCGAGACUCAGUGAAAUUGAACUCGCUGUGAAGAUGCAGUGUACCCGCGGCAAGACGGAAAGACCCCGUGAACCUUUACUAUAGCUUGACACUGAACAUUGAGCCUUGAUGUGUAGGAUAGGUGGGAGGCUUUGAAGUGUGG